GACGAACGCUGGCGGCGUGCUUAACACAUGCAAGUCGAACGGAAAGGCCUGCUUUCCCUUGUGGAUUGCGGGUACUCGAGUGGCGAACGGGUGAGUAACACGUGAGUGAUCUGCCCCCAACUUGGGUAUAAGCCUGGGAAACUGGGUCUAAUUCCCGAUAGGACUGCAGGGUGGUGCCUGUGUUGGAAAACGAUUUUCUAGUGGGUGGGGAUGAGCUCGCGGCCUAUCAGCUUGUUGGUGGGGUAAUGGCCUACCAAGGCGGGGAGGGGUAGCCGGACGGAGAGCGUGGACGGGCGCAGUGGGACUGGGUCACGGCGCCGACGCGAGCGGGCGGCAGGAGAGGGGAGGCAAGGGCCGCGAGCGGAAGCCAGAUGCAGCGAGGCGGCGUGGGAGAUGACGGGGUUCGGAUGGUAUACUCCUUUCGAAGACGAGGAAGCGACCUGGAUGGAAGGGUGGUGACGGUAGUGGAAGAAGAAGCACCGGCUAACUACGUG
This 494-nucleotide ribosomal RNA is filed under the name uncultured bacterium. RNAcentral's name for it is "partial 16S ribosomal RNA". It matches the Rfam family "Bacterial small subunit ribosomal RNA", at positions 28 to 507 of the family's 1533-position model. The record is from RNAcentral.